Molecule: long non-coding RNA, 179 nt
Organism: Athene cunicularia (burrowing owl)
Lineage: Eukaryota; Metazoa; Chordata; Aves; Strigiformes; Strigidae
Exons: 4
Source: RefSeq, a predicted model, not a curated record
CUGAGGACAGAUAGAUGUAAAUGGGAAGGUGAGUGGCAGGAAAAGAUGGGCAAGUACCUGAGUCAGUGGUCACCCCCAAUGUUUUGGAAUUUCUCUCCCGAACAAGUGCAGAGUCCUGAUAAACUGGUGGAAUGCUUAGAAAAGGUGUGUUGCCAAUUUAACAGAUCCCAGGAGACACA